UCAAGUAAUUAAGUGCAUGUGGUGGAUGCCUUGGCAGUCAGAGGCGAUGAAAGACGUGAUAGCCUGCGAAAAGCUCCGGGGAGGCGGCAAAUAUCCUUUGAUCCGGAGAUGUCUGAAUGGGGGAACCCACCUACUUUAAGGUAGGUAUUGCAACAUGAAUACAUAGUGUUGCAAGGCGAACGAGGGGAAGUGAAACAUCUCAGUACCCUUAGGAAAAGAAAUCAAUUGAGAUUCCCUCAGUAGCGGCGAGCGAACGGGGAUCAGCCCAUUAAGUUAUGUGUGUUUUAGUGGAACGCUCUGGGAAGUGCGAACGUAGAGGGUGAUAUUCCCGUACACGAAAGGGCACACAUAAUGAUGACGAGUAGGGCGAGGCACGUGAAACCUUGUCUGAAUAUGGGGGGACCAUCCUCCAAGGCUAAAUACUCCUGACUGACCGAUAGUGAACCAGUACCGUGAGGGAAAGGCGAAAAGAACCCCUGUGAGGGGAGUGAAAUAGAUCCUGAAACCGCAUGCAUACAAGCAGUGGGAGCACCUUCGUGGUGUGACUGCGUACCUUUUGUAUAAUGGGUCAGCGACUUAUAUUCAGUAGCAAGGUUAACCGUAUAGGGGAGCCGUAGAGAAAUCGAGUCUUAAUAGGGCGUUUAGUUGCUGGGUAUAGACCCGAAACCAGGCGAUCUAUCCAUGAGCAGGUUGAAGGUUGGGUAACACUAACUGGAGGACCGAACCCACUGUCGUUGAAAAGCCAGGGGAUGACUUGUGGAUAGGGGUGAAAGGCUAAUCAAGCCUGGUGAUAGCUGGUUCUCCCCGAAAGCUAUUUAGGUAGCGCCUCGGACGAAUACCAUAGGGGGUAGAGCACUGUUUCGGCUAGGGGGUCAUCCCGACUUACCAAACCGAUGCAAACUCCGAAUACCUAUGAGUACUAUCCGGGAGACAGACUGCGGGUGCUAACGUCCGUAGUCAAGAGGAAAACAAUCCAGACCGCCAGCUAAGGCCCCAAAAUCAUAGUUAAGUGGGAAACGAUGUGGGAAGGCAUAGACAGCUAGGAGGUUGGCUUAGAAGCAGCCACCCUUUAAAGAAAGCGUAAUAGCUCACUAGUCGAGUCGGCCUGCGCGGAAGAUGUAACGGGGCUAAAACUAUGUGCCGAAGCUGCGGAUUUGACAUUAGUCAAGUGGUAGGGGAGCGUUCUGUAAGCCGAUGAAGGUGUAUUGAGAAGUAUGCUGGAGGUAUCAGAAGUGCGAAUGCUGACGUGAGUAACGACAAAACGGGUGAAAAACCCGUUCGCCGAAGUAUACUUUGUAUACGUGGUAGGGGAGCGUUCUGUAAGCCGAUGAAGGUGUGUUGAGAAGCAUGCUGGAGGUAUCAGAAGUGCGAAUGCUGACGUGAGUAACGACAAAACGGGUGAAAAACCCGUUCGCCGAAAGACCAAGGGUUCCAGUCCAACGUUAAUCGGGGCUGGGUGAGUCGACCCCUAAGGCGAGGCCGAAAGGCGUAGUCGAUGGGAAAAUGGUUAAUAUUCCAUUACUUCUGUGUAAUGCGAUGAGAGGACGGAGAAGGCUAAAUCAGCCUGGCGUUGGUUGUCCAGGUGAAAGGAUGUAGGCAUGUAUCUUAGGCAAAUCCGGGGUACUCUAUGCUGAGAUCUGAUAGCAAGCUGUACUUGUACAGCGAAGUGGUUGAUGCCAUGCUUCCAGGAAAAGUCUCUAAGCUUCAGUUACACAGGAAUCGUACCCGAAACCGACACAGGUGGUCAGGUCGAGUAGACCAAGGCGCUUGAGAGAACUCUGCUGAAGGAACUAGGCAAAAUGGUACCGUAACUUCGGGAGAAGGUACGCUGUUGUUGGUGAUGGAACUCGCUUCCUGAGCUGACGACAGCCGCAGAAACCAGGCCGCUGCAACUGUUUAUUAAAAACAUAGCACUCUGCAAACACGAAAGUGGACGUAUAGGGUGUGAUGCCUGCCCGGUGCUGGAAGGUUAAUUGAUGGGGUUAGCGUAAGCGAAGCUCUUGAUCGAAGCCCCAGUAAACGGCGGCCGUAACUAUAACGGUCCUAAGGUAGCGAAAUUCCUUGUCGGGUAAGUUCCGACCUGCACGAAUGGCAUAAUGAUGGCGGCGCUGUCUCCAGCAGAGGCUCAGUGAAAUCGAAAUCGCUGUGAAGAUGCAGUGUACCCGCGGCUAGACGGAAAGACCCCGUGAACCUUUACUGCAGCUUGACACUGAACUUUGACCUUACUUGUGUAGGAUAGGUGGGAGGCUUUGAAGCUGGAACGCUAGUUCCAGUGGAGCCGUCCUUGAAAUACCACCCUGGUAAUGUUGAGGUUCUAACUCUGUCCCGUGAUCCGGGACGAGGACCGUGUCUGGUGGGUAGUUUGACUGGGGCGGUCUCCUCCUAAAGAGUAACGGAGGAGUACGAAGGUGCGCUCAGCGUGGUCGGAAAUCACGCGUAGAGUAUAAAGGCAAAAGCGCGCUUAACUGCGAGACCCACAAGUCGAGCAGGUACGAAAGUAGGUCUUAGUGAUCCGGUGGUUCUGUAUGGAAGGGCCAUCGCUCAACGGAUAAAAGGUACUCUGGGGAUAACAGGCUGAUACCGCCCAAGAGUUCAUAUCGACGGCGGUGUUUGGCACCUCGAUGUCGGCUCAUCUCAUCCUGGGGCUGAAGCAGGUCCCAAGGGUAUGGCUGUUCGCCAUUUAAAGAGGUACGCGAGCUGGGUUUAGAACGUCGUGAGACAGUUCGGUCCCUAUCUACCGUGGGCGCUGGAAAUUUGAGAGGAUCUGCUCCUAGUACGAGAGGACCAGAGUGGACGAACCUCUGGUGUACCGGUUGUGACGCCAGUCGCAUCGCCGGGUAGCUAUGUUCGGAAGGGAUAACCGCUGAAAGCAUCUAAGCGGGAAGCCUACCUCAAGAUAAGAUUUCCCUAGGACUUUAUGUCCUCUAAAGAGCCGUUCGAGACUAGGACGUUGAUAGGUUGGAUGUGGAAGCAUAGUGAUAUGUGAAGCUGACCAAUACUAAUUGCUCGUGAGGCUUGACUAU
Molecule: ribosomal RNA, 3023 nt
Filed under: Acinetobacter baumannii
Lineage: Bacteria; Pseudomonadati; Pseudomonadota; Gammaproteobacteria; Moraxellales; Moraxellaceae
Description: bacterial LSU rRNA
Rfam family: Bacterial large subunit ribosomal RNA
Source: RNAcentral